AGGUGCUAUGAAACUUAACUGUGUCCUCCUCCUAACUGGGCCUGCUGUGUGUCUGUAUGUGUGCGUGUCUGAGUGUGUGUCUGUGUGGGGGAAUGUUGUCU
Long non-coding RNA from Etheostoma spectabile (orangethroat darter), 101 nucleotides. RefSeq lists it as uncharacterized. Lineage: Eukaryota; Metazoa; Chordata; Actinopteri; Perciformes; Percidae. The transcript has 3 exons. The record is from RefSeq and is a predicted model, not a curated record.